UACGUAGGUGGCAAGCGUUGUCCGGAUUUAUUGGGUUUAAAGGGUGCGUAGGCGGCCCUAUAAGUCAGUGCUGAAAUAUCCCGGCUUAACCGGGAGGGUGGCAUUGAUACUGUAGGGCUUGAGUGUAGUCGAGGUAGGCGGAAUUGACGGUGUAGCGGUGAAAUGCUUAGAUAUCGUCAAGAACACCGAUAGUGUAGAUAGCUUACUGGGCUACAACUGACGCUGAGGCACGAAAGUGUGGGGAUCAAACAGG
This 253-nucleotide ribosomal RNA is filed under the name uncultured bacterium. Its description in RNAcentral is "partial 16S ribosomal RNA". It matches the Rfam family "Bacterial small subunit ribosomal RNA", at positions 524 to 776 of the family's 1533-position model. The record is from RNAcentral.